CGAGCAACAAUUUCAUCCGGCUCGAAGGACCAUGAUCAUAGGUGCAACUACUUUCUUCGAAGCUCCGUAUGUUGCCGUAGGUUGCACCAAUGUAUUUUCAGUGUAGGCCGAGAAAAUAAAUAAAGCCACGAAAAAUUAAUUCUUCGUCAAAUAUGUGUUUGAUUUAUUAAUUAUGUAUGUAUACACAUAUACAAAUGUAAGGUGAAUACGAAAUAUUACCUGUAUGGUGUGUGAUGAAGGGUGGUGGCUGAUAGGCGUCCGUGCUCUAUUAAGUGAAAAACUGGAAUGCCCGCGCUAUUUGUUGACAGAUUUAGCCGAACCCUCAAACAGCGAGAUGUGCUGAGGGGAAAUUUGGCUAAUUCGUUAUAAUAAUUGGCGGGAAAAAUAAUGCAAUUAUUUAUAUGCUCAUAUUCGUAUGUAUGUAUAUAUCGGUGUGUGUAUGCACAUGAACAUUAGGGUGGUUCACCCUUUUCAAAGUUGUGUCUAGUGGCCUAAACACAAA
Long non-coding RNA from Rhagoletis pomonella (apple maggot), 502 nucleotides. RefSeq lists it as uncharacterized. The transcript has 2 exons. Lineage: Eukaryota; Metazoa; Arthropoda; Insecta; Diptera; Tephritidae. The record is from RefSeq and is a predicted model, not a curated record.